Molecule: ribosomal RNA, 117 nt
Filed under: Diaphorina citri (Asian citrus psyllid)
Lineage: Eukaryota; Metazoa; Arthropoda; Insecta; Hemiptera; Psyllidae
Source: RNAcentral
CGGCGCGGCGAUAGCUUGUUUAAUUACCAGUCCCCCCACGGAUCACUUAAGUUAAGCCACGUUGCGCGAGAUUAGUACCUGGAUGGUGACCAUCUGAGGAAACCCGUGCUACUGGGU